GAGUUUGAUCCUGGCUCAGAACGAACGCUGGCGGCGUGCUUAACACAUGCAAGUCGAACGUGAUUGAGAGCUUGCUCUGAUGAAAGUGGCGCACGGGUGAGUAACGCGUGGAUAACCUGCCCUGGUAUCUGGGAUAACAUCUCGAAAGGGGUGCUAAUACCGGAUAAGCCUACGGGAUCUUCGGAUUCUGCAGGAAAAGGAGGCCUCUAUUUAUAAGCUUCCGUAUCAUGAUGGGUCCGCGUACCAUUAGCUAGUUGGUGGGGUAAUGGCCUACCAAGGCGACGAUGGUUAGCUGGUCUGAGAGGAUGAUCAGCCACACUGGAACUGAGACACGGUCCAGACUCCUACGGGAGGCAGCAGUGGGGAAUUUUGCGCAAUGGGGGAAACCCUGACGCAGCAACGCCGCGUGAGUGAUGAAGGCUUUCGGGUCGUAAAGCUCUGUCAGAGGGGAAGAAAUGAAACGUGCUAAUAUCACGUUUUCUUGACGGUACCCUCAAAGGAAGCACCGGCUAACUCCGUGCCAGCAGCCGCGGUAAUAC
Molecule: ribosomal RNA, 539 nt
Filed under: uncultured Geobacteraceae bacterium
Lineage: Bacteria; Pseudomonadati; Thermodesulfobacteriota; Desulfuromonadia; Geobacterales; Geobacteraceae
Description: bacterial SSU rRNA
Rfam family: Bacterial small subunit ribosomal RNA
Source: RNAcentral